This 497-nucleotide ribosomal RNA is filed under the name uncultured bacterium. Its description in RNAcentral is "partial 16S ribosomal RNA". It matches the Rfam family "Bacterial small subunit ribosomal RNA", at positions 28 to 507 of the family's 1533-position model. The record is from RNAcentral.
GACGAACGCUGGCGGCGUGCCUAAUACAUGCAAGUUGAGCGAUGAAGAUUGGUGCCUGCACCAAUUUGAAGAGCAGCGAACGGGUGAGUAACGCGUGGGGAAUCUGCCUUUGAGCGGGGGACAACAUUUGGAAACGAAUGCUAAUACCGCAUAACAACUUUAAACAUAAGUUUUAAGUUUGAAAGAUGCAAUUGCAUCACUCAAAGAUGAUCCCGCGUUGUAUUAGCUAGUUGGUGAGGUAAAGGCUCACCAAGGCGAUGAUACAUAGCCGACCUGAGAGGGUGAUCGGCCACAUUGGGACUGGGACACGGCCCAAACUCCUACGGGAGGCAGCAGUAGGGAAUCUUCGGCAAUGGACGAAAGUCUGACCGAGCAACGCCGCGUGAGUGAAGAAGGUUUUCAGAUCGUAAAACUCUGUUGGUAGAGAAGAACGUUGGUGAGAGUGGAAAGCUCAUCAAGUGACGGUAACUACCCAGAAAGGGACGGCUAACUACGUG